GACGAACCGUGCAAACGUUGUCCGGAAUUAUUGGGCGUAAAGAGCUCGUAGGCGGUCUGUCGCGUCGGAUGUGAAAAUCCAGGGCUCAACCCUGGACCUGCAUUCGAUACGGGCAGACUAGAGUUCGGUAGGGGAGACUGGAAUUCCUGGUGUAGCGGUGAAAUGCGCAGAUAUCAGGAGGAACACCGGUGGCGAAGGCGGGUCUCUGGGCCGAAACUGACGCUGAGGAGCGAAAGCGUGGGGAGCAAACAGG
Molecule: ribosomal RNA, 253 nt
Filed under: uncultured bacterium
Lineage: Bacteria
Description: partial 16S ribosomal RNA
Rfam family: Bacterial small subunit ribosomal RNA
Source: RNAcentral